RNAcentral lists this ribosomal RNA (406 nucleotides) under uncultured bacterium. RNAcentral's name for it is "partial 16S ribosomal RNA". It matches the Rfam family "Bacterial small subunit ribosomal RNA", at positions 28 to 526 of the family's 1533-position model. The record is from RNAcentral.
GAUGAACGCUGGCAGAAUGCUUAACACAUCAGCAAUGGAUUGGUGGCGGACGGGUUAGUAACCCGUAAAGAACUUACCUCCCAGCUAGGGACAACUUUUGGAAGCGAAUGUUAAUCCCUACUACUGUGAGAGAGCUUUGCGUCCCAUUAGCUAGUUGGAGAGGUAACUGCUCACCAAGGCGAUGAUGGGUCUCCGGCCUGAGAGGGUGAUCGGCCACAAGGGGACUGAGACACGGCCCUUACUCAUACGGGAGGCAGGAGUGGGGAAUAGUGGACAAUGGACCAAAGUCUGAUCCAGCAAUUCUGUGGGAAAGAUGAAGUUUUCGGAAUGUAAAGUGCUUUCAGUUGGGAAGCGGUACCAACAGAAGAAGUGACGGAUAAAUACGUGCCAGCAGCCGCGGUAAUUC